RNAcentral lists this ribosomal RNA (264 nucleotides) under uncultured bacterium. RNAcentral's name for it is "partial 16S ribosomal RNA". It matches the Rfam family "Bacterial small subunit ribosomal RNA", at positions 57 to 305 of the family's 1533-position model. The record is from RNAcentral.
GCAAGUCGAACGAGAAAGCUCUCUUCAGAGAGUGAGUACAGUGGCGAACGGGUGAGUAACAGGUGGAAAACCUGCCCUUCAAUGGGGGAUAACAGUUCUAACGAGCUGCAAUACCGCAUACGAUCUUUUGGUCGCAUGGCCGAAAGAUGAAAGAUGGCCUCUCUUUGAAGCUGUCGUUGAAGGAUGGUUCCGCCUCCCAUUAGCUUGUUGGUGGGGUAAUGGCCUACCAAGGCGACGAUGGGUAGCCGGCCUGAGAGGGUGAAC